UCGCAAGAGGAGCGGCAGACGGGUGAGUAACGCGUGGGAAUUUGCCCUAUGGUAGAAUAACACAGAGAAAUUUGUGCUAAUACCGUAUGUGUCCUUCGGGAGAAAGAUUUAUCCAUAGGAUAAGCCCGCGUCCGAUUAGCUAGUUGGUGAGGUAAUGGCUCACCAAGGCGGAUCGGUAGCUGGUCUGAGAGGAUGAUCAGCCACACUGGGACUGAGACACGGCCCAGACCUACGGGAGGGCAGCAGUGGGGGAAUAUUGGACAAUGGGCGCAAGCCUGAUCCAGCCGCCGCGUGAGUGAUGACGGCCUUAGGGUUGUAAAGCUCUUUUACCCGGGAAGAUAAUGUGUACCGGGAGAAUAAGCCCCGGCUAACUUCGUGCCAGCAGCCGCGGUAAUACGAAGGGCUAGCGUUGUUUCGGAAUCACUGGGCGUAAAGCGCACGUAGGCGGACUUUUAAGUCAGGUGAAAGCCUGGAGCUCAACUCCAGAACUGCCUUUGAUACUGGAAGUCUUGAGUCCGAGAGGUGAGUGGAACUGCUAGUGUAGAGGUGAAAUUCGUAGAUAUUAGCAAGAACACCUGGCGAAGGCGGCUCACUGGACCGGUACUGACGCUGAGGUGCGAAAGCGUGGGGAGCA
RNAcentral lists this ribosomal RNA (634 nucleotides) under uncultured bacterium. RNAcentral's name for it is "bacterial SSU rRNA". It matches the Rfam family "Bacterial small subunit ribosomal RNA", at positions 84 to 770 of the family's 1533-position model. The record is from RNAcentral.